Molecule: long non-coding RNA, 235 nt
Filed under: Elaeis guineensis (African oil palm)
Lineage: Eukaryota; Viridiplantae; Streptophyta; Magnoliopsida; Arecales; Arecaceae
Description: long non-coding RNA (EGUI_LNC073108)
Source: RNAcentral
UUCCACCUUUCAUUCAAGAACAAGUUCAAGCUGCCCAAGGUUACUCUAAACCUGUCAAUGAUCCAUUCUCUAACACAUAUAAUUCAGGCUGGAGGAACCAUCCAAAUUUUUCUUGGAGACCCUAACAGACCUAGGCUCAGACCCAAAUUCUUCCUUCGCAAAACUUUCAGAGUAGACCUCCAUACCAGAAUUAUGCCUACAAUAUAGGUCAGCCCAGUCAAUCUAUCCAGCCACC